UCCCUGGUAGCUCAGAGGUUAAAGCGUCUGCCUGCAAUACGGAAGACCAGGUUCGAUUCCUGGGUAGGGAA
RNAcentral lists this transfer RNA (71 nucleotides) under Ovis aries (sheep). It matches the Rfam family "tRNA". From Rfam's summary of the family: Transfer RNA (tRNA) molecules are approximately 80 nucleotides in length. The record is from Rfam by way of RNAcentral. Lineage: Eukaryota; Metazoa; Chordata; Mammalia; Artiodactyla; Bovidae.